AAGGGUUUUAAGAACUCUAUCUCAGGAUAAAGACCUGAGGGUCACAUGUACAUUGCUGGCCCCAGCUGGAUUUUCCCAGGGUCAGGUGCCCAUUCCUACCUAAUCAAAGGUCAUGAGUCCUCACACAUUUUCAAGAGUUUGGAAAAUGAUCUCCCUUGCCAGAUUGCCAAUCUUCAAAGGGAGGUCUAUAUGUGGAAGAAAAAGAAAAAAUUUAUGUGCAUUUACCCUGUUUAAUACACUCAUCAUAUAUAGUAUUUUUGCAACAGCAAAAAUAACACUCAAUUUAGUAUGUAAUUAUAUAUGUCAUAUACUUAAUAUACAAAAUAUUUUCCUUGCUAACCUAUACGAUUUCAAAUGCCUGGAACAUGAGAUAAUUCAUGUGAUUACUUGAGAGUAUGUAAAUUUUAAUAUGUUAACAUAUACUGGCAAAGUUCUAAAAGUUGUGAUUUUAUGGGAGGCCAAAUUAUGUACAUAUUAGUUUGUCUGAAGACUUGAGCCAAAAGGAAACUAAUACACUUUUGAGCUACAAUAUGGACAUAAUGUCAUGAAGCAGGAACAUUAUGCUCCAUUUCAGGACACUUCUGCUGACCUGCACCUAGAAUACCCUGUUCUGUGCUGAUGACUCAGAUGUAAGAAUGAUGAAGUGCAUCAGUUGGCAUGCAGAGAACAAUAAGAAAAAGAACUGAGUUGUGGGAAGACAUGAGGAAAGGACAUGAGGCUCUUAAUAACAGCUGCCAAGUACUGCAGUCGGGAAUCUGGAGCAAAGUGAUUCAAUUCUGACCACUGCCUGUGAGUAAAUGGGAUUUU
This 807-nucleotide long non-coding RNA is filed under the name Pan troglodytes (chimpanzee). RNAcentral's name for it is "lincRNA". The record is from RNAcentral. Lineage: Eukaryota; Metazoa; Chordata; Mammalia; Primates; Hominidae.